This 459-nucleotide ribosomal RNA is filed under the name uncultured bacterium. RNAcentral describes it as "partial 16S ribosomal RNA". It matches the Rfam family "Bacterial small subunit ribosomal RNA", at positions 338 to 795 of the family's 1533-position model. The record is from RNAcentral.
CCUACGGGCGGCAGCAGUGAGGAAUAUUGGUCAAUGGACGCGAGUCUGAACCAGCCAAGUAGCGUGAAGGAUGACUGCCCUAUGGGUUGUAAACUUCUUUUAUAAAGGAAUAAAACGAGGCACGUGUGCCUUUUUGCAUGUACUUUAUGAAUAAGGAUCGGCUAACUCCGUGCCAGCAGCCGCGGUAAUACGGAGGAUGCGAGCGUUAUCCGGAUUUAUUGGGUUUAAAGGGGGCGUAGGCGGGCUGUUAGGUGUGCGGUAAAAGUUGGGGGCUCAACCCUGGCGAGCCGUUGAAACUGGCUGUCUUGAGAGGGCGAGAGGUAGGCGGAAUGCGCAGUGUAGCGGUGAAAUGCUUAGAUAUUGCGCAGAACUCCGAUUGCGAAGGCAGCAUACCGGCGCGGAUCUGACGCUGAGGCACGAAAGCGUGGGUAUCGAACAGGAUUAGAUACCCCAGUAGUC